GCAGUCGGACGGUCUGUCGCUGAUGCCUCUGGCAGAAGAGGAAAGUCCGGGCAACACAGAGCAUCCUACUUCCUAACGGAAAGCUGUCUGUAAAGGUGGAGUAAUGCAGAAGAAAAUAACCGCCAUAUCUUGAUAUGGUAAGGGUGAGAAGGUGGAGUAAGAGCCCACCAGUCGCAUGGUGACAUGUCGAGCUGUGCAUCUUAGGAGUUGUAAGGUCAUGUAAACCGGCAUCAACGAGGGUUGCUCGCCCCACGUCGGAGGGUAGACCGCUAGAGCCUAUUGGUGACAAUGGGCGUAGAUAAAUGACAGACAUCUUGUUCAAGCAAGAAACAGAACCCGGCUUAUAGGCUGGCUGCUUUU
This 360-nucleotide RNase P RNA is filed under the name Bacteroidaceae bacterium. RNAcentral describes it as "RNase P RNA component class A". It matches the Rfam family "Bacterial RNase P class A". Rfam says of the family: Ribonuclease P (RNase P) is a ubiquitous endoribonuclease, found in archaea, bacteria and eukarya as well as chloroplasts and mitochondria. Its best characterised activity is the generation of mature 5'-ends of tRNAs by cleaving the 5'-leader elements of precursor-tRNAs. The record is from RNAcentral. Lineage: Bacteria; Pseudomonadati; Bacteroidota; Bacteroidia; Bacteroidales; Bacteroidaceae.